AGCAGCAGCCGCGGUAAUACAGAGGGUGCGAGCGUUAAUCGGAUUUACUGGGCGUAAAGCGUGCGUAGGCGGCUUCUUAAGUCGGAUGUGAAAUCCCUGAGCUUAACUUAGGAAUUGCAUUCGAUACUGGGAAGCUAGAGUAUGGGAGAGGAUGGUAGAAUUCCAGGUGUAGCGGAGAAAUGCGUAGAGAUCUGGAGGAAUACCGAUGGCGAAGGCAGCCAUCUGGCCUAAUACUGACGCUGAGGUACGAAAGCAUGGGGAGCAAACAGGAUUAGAUACCCGAGUAGUCCCUGUCUCUUAUAC
Molecule: ribosomal RNA, 303 nt
Filed under: uncultured bacterium
Lineage: Bacteria
Description: partial 16S ribosomal RNA
Rfam family: Bacterial small subunit ribosomal RNA
Source: RNAcentral